AAGUCGUAACAAGGUCUCCGUUGGUGAACCAGCGGAGGGAUCAUUACCGAGUUUUCAACUCCCAAACCCUAUGUGAACCAUACCUAUCGUUGCUUCGGCGGGACCGCCCCGGGCCUAGCGCCCGGAACCAGGCGCCCGCCGGGGGACCCAAACUCUUGUGUUUUAUAGUGGCAUCUUCUGAGUGGCUAUAAGCAAAAAUAAAUCAAAACUUUCAACAACGGAUCUCUUGGUUCUG
RNAcentral lists this unclassified non-coding RNA (235 nucleotides) under air metagenome. Its description in RNAcentral is "partial contains small subunit ribosomal RNA, internal transcribed spacer 1, and 5.8S ribosomal RNA". The stretch from base 1 to 46 matches the Rfam family "Eukaryotic small subunit ribosomal RNA", at positions 1786 to 1831 of the family's 1831-position model. The record is from RNAcentral.